This is a long non-coding RNA of Cebus imitator (Panamanian white-faced capuchin), 1300 nucleotides long. RefSeq lists it as uncharacterized. The record is from RefSeq and is a predicted model, not a curated record. The transcript has 2 exons. NCBI's taxonomy places the organism in Eukaryota, Metazoa, Chordata, Mammalia, Primates, Cebidae.
GUUGGAGGUUGCAGUGAGCCAAGAUCGUGCCAUUGCACUCCAGCCUGGGCAACAGAGCGAGACUCUGUCAAAAAACAAAAACAAAACAAAACAAAAAACCUUUUGGUACUAAUAGGUAUUUAAUCUACUAUAACUGUGAAAACUAUGUCUGUGAAUUCUUUUUUUUUUUUUUCCCCCCAGCUCUGUCUGCUGAAACUCCUUACAUUUAUUCUCCUAACUUACUUAUCCUUCAGAGCCCAGUUCAGGGGAUGUCUUCAUGAAGUCCCCCUCGCCCCAGCUCUGUGCUUCCAUAGGACCCAUGCCCACCUCUCUCUGCUUCCCACUGUGUGCAGGUCCUACCUCCUCAUUUUAUUGUGCUUUACUUUAUUGUGCUUCACAGAUGCUGCAUUUUUUACAGAUUGAAGAUUUGUGGCAACCUACAUCAAGUCUCCCCUACUUCAUGAGAUAUAAUAUUGAAAUUGGACCAAUUAAUAAACCUAUAAUGGCUUUUAAAUGUUCAAGUGAAAGGAAGAGUUACAUGUGUCUCUCUUUAAAUCAAAAACUAGGAAUGAUUAAGCUUAGUAAGGAAGGAAGAUUGAAAGCCAAGACAAGCCAAAAGCCAGCCCUCUUGCAACAGUUAACCAAGUUGUGAAUGUAAAAGAGAAGUUCCUAAAGGAAAUUAAAAGUGCUACUCCAGUGAAUGUCGGAAUGCUAAGAAAGCAAAACAGCCUUAUUGCUGAUGUGGAGAAAGUUUCAGUGAUCUGAAUAGAAGAUCAAACCAGCCACGACAUUCCCUUAAGCCAAAGCUUGAUUCAGUGCAAGAUCCUGACUCUCUUCAAUUUUAUGAAGGCUCAGAGAAGGCUGCAGUGUUUGAAGAGAAAAAACUUUGAAAAAUGCUUUUCAAAGUUUGAAGCUAGCAGAGGUUGAUUCAUGAGUUUUAAGGAAAAAAGCAACAUAAAAAUGCAAGGUGAAGUAGCAAGUACUGAUGCAGAAGCUGUAGCAAGUUAUCCAGAAGAUCUAGCUGUGGUAGCUAGAUGAUGGAAUGAAGGUGGCUACACUAAACAACAGAUUUUCAAUGGAGAUGAAACAGUGUUGGAAGAAGGUCCCAUCUAGGACCUUUAUAGCUAAAGAGGAGAAGUGAGUGUCUGGCUUCAAAACUUCAAAGGACAGGCUGACUCUCUUGUUAGUGGUGAAUGCAGCUGGUGACUUUAAGUUGAAGCCAAUGCUCAUUGACCAUUCUAAGAAUCCUAGAGCCCUUAAAAAUUAUGCUCAGUCUACUCUGCCUGUGCUCUAUAAAUGGAAUAAAAAAGCCUGGAUGACA